Molecule: long non-coding RNA, 7929 nt
Filed under: Nicotiana tabacum (common tobacco)
Lineage: Eukaryota; Viridiplantae; Streptophyta; Magnoliopsida; Solanales; Solanaceae
Description: long non-coding RNA (NTAB_LNC006340)
Source: RNAcentral
CAUACAAGGUCUGAAUAACAUAAAGCUGUCUGAAAAGAAGAUACACAGCUAAAUAAAAACAAAGAAGGGGACUCCAGGAGCUGCGAGCGCUGAGCAGUUGUACCUCAAGUCUCCGCAGGCUGUCCAAUUCGAGCUCACUAGUAGCCGCCGCUGGGACCGAGUCCAAAAUCUGCACAAAAAGUGCAAAGUAUAGUAUGAAUACAACCGACCACAUGUACUCUGUAAGUGCCGAGCCUAACCUCGACGAAGUAGUGACGAGGCUAAGGUGGAUCACCUACACUACACACUUGUACGCAAUAUAUAAUAAUGACAGAUAAUGAAAAUAUAGAACAAGAUUUAAUAGUCAACUGAAAAAAAUAACCACAGCCUCAAGAAAUGAACCAGUGUCGUCCAGAAUUACCAAUCUUUAGAAUUUCAAAUAACAAUACCGAAAACCAACACAACUCAAGGAAAUAGAAAUACAUAGGUUGUUGCGGUGCGCAACCUGAUCCCACCGUACAACAUAAAAUCCUACAUUACUUUAUCGUAAUAACAUCAACAAUAGCGAUAAUAUAUAAAUAUGUUGUGGCGCGCAACCCGAUCCCACCAUAUAUCAAUAUUAGUAUCAUAAUUCACCCUUAUUUCACCAUAUCAAUCCAUCCUUAUUACACCUGUUGCGGCGUGCAACCCAAUCCCACCGUAUAGUAUGAAUUCACCAUUAUUCUACCAUAUCAAUCCACCCUUAUUACACCUACAGCGGCGUGCAGCCCGAUCCCACUAUAUCAGUACCAAAUACUUAAUGUGCAAAAUCAAAUCAACAGUUCAAACCACAAAAACCUUUACGAUCAAUAAAUACCAAAGUGAACCAAAAAGAAAACCUUGAACAACAUAGGAAUCUACACAAGUAAUACUACAUAGCGAGACCAAUCCAGUAAUUAACAAUUAGAAGGUGCAAAUAAGUCAAUUUAAGCAAAUAGCGGGGAAUCAUGAAGCUAUGAAAAGAGCUAACGUCAUUAAGAGGAGAAGAUAUUGAUUAACAGAUAGCAGUUAAGCACGGAAAGCAUUUAGAGCGUACAACAGUUAAGGCAGAGAAGGAAAUAAUUAAGGAAAAAUAGAAAAUCAGGGAAAACGGAUAAUUCGACGGCGUAUAAGCACUCAUCACCUUGCAUAUACGCCGCUCACAUGAGAAUCACAUAGCACAUAGUCCGAGGGUUUCUAAUUCCCUUAAGCCAAGGUUAGACACAACACUUACCUCGCUCUUAAAAUUACUCAAAGCUCAACCACACCUUUGCCUUUCAAACAAGCCUCCGAACCAACAAUAUCUAGCAAAUUACCAAUCAUACGAUUCAAAAUAAGUCUUAGGAAUCACCCAUGAUUGCAAAAGAUUCAAUUUAGCUCACUAUUGAAAAAGUCAACAAAAAUCAACUCCCGGGCCCACUUGGUCCAAACCCGAAAUUUGGAUCAAAACUCAAUUACACAUUCAUCUCUGAGCCCAGUUAUGUAAUUAGUUUUGGAAUCUGACCUCAAUUUGAGGUCUAAAUCCCUAUUUUACAAAAAUUCCUAUUUCUACCCAAACCCCAAAUUUUUACUAUGAAAAUACAAGAUUUUUGGUUGAAAUCUUAGGAAAUAUAGUGAAAGAUUGAAAGAAACUAGUUCAGAAUCACUUACCGAUGAUUUGGGGAAGAAGAGUCCUUUGAAAAAUCGCCCUUAGGGUUCUUAAGUUUAAAAAUUAGAGAGAAUGAACAAAAAUCCCGCCUAACUCCCAUUUUGAUCAGUUGCAGAUGUCGCGUUUGCGACCUGCCGAAAAUGCGAAGAAACCAUCAAAAUGUGAAAUCCUUCCCAUCUCUGCUUUCUUCGCAAAUACGAAGAAUCGUUCGCAAAUGCGAACUUUGACCUUCCGCAAUUGCGACCAUUUGAUCGUAAUUACGAUCACUGCUUGCCCCAGCCCCAUUUCGCAAAUGCGAAGUUUUGUUCGCAAAUGUGAACUCUGGCCUCCCCGGCUACUCUUCGCAAAUGCGAUGAGUAUCUCACAAAUGAGAAUCCAUCAGUGGCCGCAAAUGCAAAGUCUGACCUUGCAAUUGCGAGGUCUGAGGCCUGCAACAAAAACUAAAGGCACACCAGCAAUGUUUUAAGUUCAAAUUUCACUCCGUAGCCUAUCCGAAAUUCACCCAAACCCUCGGGGCUCCAAACCAAACAUGCACACAAGUCUAAAAACAUCAUACAAACUUGCUCGCACAAUCAAAUCGCUAAAAUAACACCUAGAACUACACGAAUUGAACACCAAAUCGAAUGAAAUUUUCAAGAAAGCUUUUAAACUUCUAUUUUCACAACCGGACAUCCGAAUCACGUCAAACCUACUCUGUUUCUCACCAAAUUCGACAGACAAGUCAUAAAUAUGGUAUUGGUCCUAUAACGGGUUUCGGAACUAAAGUACCGACCCGAUAUCCAAAAAGUCAAUCAUUGGUCAAACAUUUCAAAUUCAUUAAGCCUUUAACUUUUAAAUUUCAACAAAAUCUAAUAACUCGGGCUAGGGACUUUCGAAUUCGAUUCCGAGCAUACGCCCAAGUCCGAAAUCAUGAUACAUACCCACCGGGAUCGUUAAAACACGAAUAGGGAUCCGUUUGCUCAAAACUUUGAUCGAAGUCAACUCAAAUAGAUUUUAAGGCAAAAAUGUCAUAUUUUCUCAGUUUUUUAAUAUAAAAACUUUUCGGAAACGCGUCCCGACUGUUCAUGCAAAUCAAGGAGGGCUAAAAUGAGGUAUUUAAGGUUUCGAAAUACGGAAUUGGGUUCUAAAACAUAAGAUGACCUAUCGGGUCAUCACAUUCUCCACAUCUAAAAUAAUUGUUCGUCCUCGAACGGACAUAGAAAAGUACCUAGACUGGUGAAAAGGUAGGGAUAUCUACUCUAUAUGUCCGACUCGGACUCCUAGGUAGCUUCCUCGAUGGGCUGACCUCUCCACUGCACUCGAACUAAAGGUUAACUUUUCGACCUCAACUGACGAACCUGCCGGGCUAGAAUAGUCACCGACUCCUAAGUCAAAUCCUUGUCCAACUGGACAGAACUGAAAUCUAACACGUGGGACGAAUCGUCGAUGAUACUUCCGGAGCAUGUGCACAUGGUAUCACGUACUUACAUUGGAGCCCCCAUUGAUCAUGUUAAGCUUAAUACUUGAUUAAAUUAUAGUACGACGUAUUAUUCUAUAUGCGAUAGAAUUUAAAAUAAGAGUACAUAUGUAUUAUCAAUGAGCUACAUAUUUAAAUAAUAAUAGAGGAAUACCUAUUAUACUAACCUUAUCAAUUAAUUAGUAAUGCAAAUAAUCUCUAUAUUAUAAAAAUGUGACUUAUUAUAAUAAAACUAGAUGUCGUUAUUUAUGUUACAUUAUUUUAUUCGAUAAAAAUUUAACAACUUUACUCAAUGAGAUAGUUUUCAAGCAAAUUUUUAAUUUUUAAUUCUCUAUUUCAAUCUUUGAAGUUGAAAUAACGAACUAAAAUUUAAUACAUACAUUAUUUAGGUAGAAUAUUAUAUAUCCACAAUAACCGAACUUCCAAAUAUUAUUUUGUAAUUUCAGGUAAAUAUUAUCCAAAUGCGUACAAUAAGUUACAAUAUUUUUUAUAUUCUGUAAUUGAAAAACAAAGUUAGCACACAAAAAAACGUAAAAUUACAUAAGAAUAUCAAGAUAGUAAUUGGGCAAAUCAACGUUAGAUAAAUAAAUGAUGCUAACAUAUGAAAUUGUAAUUUACUUUAAUAGUUCAAUCGUAUUAUUAUGGUAUGGACAAAUGAACUCUAGGUAAAUAAUUAUAUUAUUAAAUUACAUAGAGGGUAAGCCUUCUAAUUUAACCCCCUUUUUUCUAAAACAUUGAGUUUUAUGAGGAAAAUACCCCAGCAUAGCAAGUCAGGAUAAUAUGAUCGUUUAAAGAGGUAUUCCUUUUUAAUGAAAAAUGAGACUUUCUGGUAUAUAUGCUAUAUAAAACUUCCCCAAACUUUUGGACAAAUAAAUUUUUCUAUUGAAAAUUCCUAAAGAGUCUACCAAAGAUCGGAAAAGUGCCAAACAUGACAAUUACUCAUUUGCAUUGACUGAACCUCUCCUUUUAAUUAUUUCGAAUUAACUGAGAUAAAUGGAAUACACGAAAGGAAAUUCCAACUUGAUUAAAUUAAAUAAAUCACAAAUUAGUACUCAUGUGCUUUACUAUACAUUAUUUUAAUGUUAAGUGUAUUAAUGUAUGAAACUAUUCAAGAUCUUGUUUCCUUUUUCUUUCAGCUUUUUUUUUUUUGGAAAAAUAUUCAUUAAAAAUAUCAAAACAAUUAAAAGAAACGCAAAUAUAUUAAAAACUUAUUGCUAGGAACAUUUUUUUAUGUCCUAUGCAAAAUAUUUUGUCAAAGAUUUUAAAAACCUAUGUAUUGAAAUGUCCUAUAUCUGGAAAAACUUUUAGCACGUCUGAUCCUAUUUUAAAAUUUGUGUAUUGUGGUUUAUACAUAAUCUUUACAUUUCUAAAUUUUAUGUUUAAGAUAAUUAAUAUGUUCCUUAUUAAAUAUUUGGAUUUAGCAAAUCCUCAAACAACCUUAACAUUAGAGAAAAGCAAAAAGUUGCCAGCUUAGUAAUUGAAAUUGCAAGUACCGUGGUUCCCACAUGGUCAGGGAAGUGCUACAGUAAUAGUUUUCAAAAGAUUGUGUGAUUUAAUGAAUUUAAGUGGGUCCCAUUUAUUUUAUAGAAAAUCGGUAAUGUCAGGUUGUCUAGAUGAAAAUUACUAUAUAAUCAUAUUCUGAGACGACUGAGUUAACAAUCUUAAGGACAUAAUAGACUAUUCAAAAAAUAAUUUCGCAUGAAAUGACUAAAUUGCCCUUGAAAGGCAAGCAGGCAUGACGACCCUCUCCUGCUUCUCUCGCUCUUCUAUAUAGGAGUCCGGAACCAAAAUAUAUUUUUUUGUGACUCAAAUUACCUUAAUAGGUGUUAAAAAAAUACAUAUCUAUAUAUAGCGUAUCAAUACAAUACGCUAUACCUUAACGGAAACUUUUGUCGUUAAGGUAUAGCGUGUUGUAUUCAUACGCUAUAGCACUUGACGAUUUGACUGCCAUAUAUAGCGUCUUGUUAUUAUACGCUAUAUAGCGUAUGAAAAGAAAACGUUAUACCCCCAUUUAAAUAUUGUCCUUCGUCUUCUUCCCCGACCAAAACCCUUUCCCCCAUUUUUUUUAAAAUUCCCCUACUUCUGGUCUCCCCUCCCACUGCUCGUUUUAAUUAAAAAAAAUUGUGGGCCCCACCCGUCACACAAAAGGUAUUGAACGUAGGUCCCAUAUCGUAGUAGAGCAUUGUAUCGUUGUGGUUUAACGCCUUCGUCUACAAAUUUUCACACAAAACACUCACUACAUCGAGGUAUUUCGAUUUAUUUUAUGUCCAAAAUUGUAUAAUAAUUUAUAAUAGUUGAUUGAAUGUGUUUCCAUGUCGUUUUUUAUUUUAUUUGCGAAACUAAUAUGUUAUAUUUAUCCGGACUUAGAUAUUAGUGUUCUAAAAAAAUGUAAAAUUGAGAUUUAAUUUUUUAUGUUAAUAUCCGAAUUUAGAUAUUAGUGUUUCCAUGUCGUUUUGUGUUUUAUUUGUGAAACUAGUAUGUUAUAUGUAUUUUUGUGAAUAUUAUGUGAUUAAAAUAUAUUUGUUGUUUAUAUUUAGUUUAUUUAUUAGCGUGGUAAAAUGUAGAAACUUUUAGCGUAGUAAACUGUAUAGUAUUUUAACGUAGAAUCCAUGUAGUUUAAGUAUUUCUUAUAAUGGUAGAUGAAAAUAUAUACUGUGUACAAUUAAAUAAUCAAAAAAUUAAAUUUGACACGCAUAAAUAUUAAUGAUAGUUUGGUGCUACUGGGCCUCAAAUAUCGAGCCUGGAAUCUAAUAGUUAUAUAUACUUUGUACCAUCAAAUAAUUAAAAAUUAAGAAUUUAAAUUAUAAAACAAACACACACAAAAUAAUCAAAAAAUUGAAUUUGACACGCAUAAAUAUUAAUGAUAGUUUGGUGCUACUGGGCCUCAAAUAUCGAGCCUGGAACCCAAUUAUUAUAUAUAUUUUGUGUCACACCUCCUUUUUACCUACCCCGAGAAGGGUAUAUAAGGGAGUUUUUUCCAACUUAAAGUGACAAUCGAAAUGGAUUAUAUUUAUUAAAAUUCAGAGUCGCCACUUGGGAUAAUUUAUGGUGUCCCAAGUCACCGAUUCAAAUCCCGAAUCGAGGAAAAGAUUGACUCUGUUUUACAGCCCGCGAACAUAGAAAUCCAGGUAAGGAAGUUAACCCGGGAGAAGGUGUUAGGCAUUCCCGAGUUCCGUGGUUCUAGCACGGUCGCUCAACCGUUAUAAUUGGCCUAUUAUCUGAUUUUAACACAUGUUUUAACCUAUGGUUCAAUUUUAACUUUAUAACCGCUUUUAUUCAUUUUUUAGGAAGCUUGCAACGUUAUUUAAAACACGUCUUGAACCACGUCACAUGAAAUGCACCCGCAGUCCGAGACACAUUUUAUUUAACGUUGUUAAUAUUUGGAUUUGGAUCACAUGAAAUGCACACCCGAAUUUGAAUUUAUGUAUCAUGGUUAUACCACGGGAAUCGUACCCAUAGCCACGAUAAUUUAUUUAAUCGCGCCUAAAGCAAGUUACGCUAUUCAUUAAUCUUCCUAAACUUUGAGGUUUUUGUGAUGCCAAAUUUAUGAACAAGAUGUUAUUGGGGCAAUUAGGCUAGCUAACAUGAUCUAUUACUUGGCUAGAUUCUUCAUGGUCCAAAACCCGCCUUAUGGUCCAUUCUUAUUCCUUGCCAAGAAAGAAACAACUACAAUUUUCCAUCUACCCAAUUUAAUAAUUCACUUAAAUCACUACUUCAACAUGUUAAAACAAAGACAAAGUAACAAAACCAUAUAAAUAAGAAACUAAUUCAAAGUCCAAGCUUAUAACCCACAUAAUUGGCAAUCAGUACACAAUUAAAGCAUUCGUCAGGUGAUUCUAGGCAAAUCUCUUUAUACACAUAUCUUGGUAUUUAGCAAAGGUUGUAAAUCUGCAAUCACAUGUUCAAACUAGCGAUAGUGUAAACAAUCUCUACACUGUAAGCAACUUAAAUGACGAAAACAACAGGUAUAUAAAGGAUGGAUCAAAUAUUAUAAUGAAAUAAUUAGCAGAAAGGGCCAAAUGUUGUGCUAAAACAUUAAUUCGGAGAAAUUAAUUAGGAUUAAGAGAUUAAGUAUAGAAGAAUACUGAACCUCAACCAUUGAACCCUUUGUAUUAAACGUUAGUUUGGUUACAGCAAACUCCGGCGAAUCGAAUCUGACCGGAAAACAAAACAGGGACUGAACCUUGAGCCGUGAACCUCGUCGGCAACCUCGGGCUCCGACCACGCACCAGAAAAUUUCGAGUCGAACCCGAACACCUCAGCUACUCCAUUUCGAUUUCUUCUUAGAAAUGACUACCCCAAAUAUACAUUAUUUCGUUUCUGAAAUCUUCACUAGAUCUUGAAGCUAUGGACUAAGACUAAAGGUAAAAAAAAAAUCUUUUCUUUUGGAAUGAAAAGCUACAUAUAACUAUACAUUUUGGGAGUAUUUCAUUUUGGGGAAGUUGGGUGGCGGCUAAGAAUGGGUGUUUUUGGGUAUGGAGGUUGUCGUUAAUGGUUUGAAGAUUAGAGGUGAUCAAGUUAAGUAGGUUUUGUUCUCGUUUUUCAUCCUAAAAAGCAGCUGAUCUUGGGGGUCUCUUUUUUUCUUAAGCAAAAGUCAUGGAAGUGGCUUCUUCCUUUAGAGAAGAAGACAGAUCGGGGAAGGGGAGAUCUUUUUUGUGUUCAACGGAGGAUGGUCCGACCUUUUUAUCCCUAGGCGUUCUUUUUUAGGCGUUAUUCCCCUUUUGCUGAUCGUCCUUCGGCCUUCUUUUUUGUGUGUAUAGGUUUAGAUUAGUUUUAUAGGGUUUUUUAGGUUAAGAGGUAUGGGCCUAGGAAUUAUGGGCUUAAGAAU